AACUAAAACAUAUUAUCUGCAAAAAUCCUGAAAUAAAUUAAUGCAAAAAAGAUAUUGUGUUUUGCAGGACCUUGUUUGAUAUCAUGAGAAAUUUUUAUUUCCAAAGUGGGGCAAUCAUUUUGAGAGCUUGUCCAUAGAUCUGUAGUUUUAUUCCAAUUCAGUUUAUUUAUUUACCACCUAAUCACAACAUAAGGUGCUUUAACAAGGGUAACAGAUUUAUCCAUUUGAUAAACAGGAAUUUGAAGACAGUAUUGAUAAAUAAAAUGUUUGUUUUUCUCAGUAAAAUUAUUAUUUUUCUGGCUUGAGUUGUUAGAAUACUUUCUCUAUAUGACAUGCUUUUUUGUCAUUUUAGACUUUUAAGCAGUUUUUGACAUCGAUUUCUAUUUAAUACACUAGAUGGCAGAUGCAGCCUGUGAGCUGUUGCCAGGCAGCCACCAUCUUGUCGUCAGGCAUUCGAUUAAAUAUAAAUCUAAGAUGCGCUUACUUAAGCUCGGGCUAAAGUGAUCUGAAAAUGCUCCGUUCGGGUCCUGCAGUAAGCUCACAAAGGAUUGUGGAACGAGCUUUCAUAAGUGAGUCUUAUAUGUUAUAUAAUGAUGUUAAUCUGUAUUCUGUAAAGUAGUGACUUCAGUUUUACUGCGUGAAUGCUUUGUCAUAAAAAAAUUGCACCAUUUGUUUAGAGAUUCAAAUUUUCUAUCCUGCGAUAUUCAGUAAGAGCAAAUUCAUAGAAUGGAAAUUGUUUUUUCUCUCAAUUUGGUGGUCGCAUUGUUGGGCCAUAAUGGAAACAAGCAUUUAUUUAUUUAUUUGCUUUUUUUUUGUGUUACCCUGUAUUUUAUGUAUUUGUGUUUAGUUAAGACAUUUUUCGAUAUGAAUAAAAAUCAAUCAGUUGCUAACCAUCUUUGACCUUGUAUAUUCUGCUAAUAAUAUAAGUGAGAUUAAUUUCUUGAUAUACUCCAUAUUCCAAUGUAUUGCUUUCAGAUUUCUUUCAACUUGGUCCAGAAAUUAUUGAAUAAUUUUACAGGGGUGAAAGGAAGCCCUCUACAGCUGGUGCACAGGGCUACGCCCCUGCAGCAUCAAAUGCCAUGUUUGACUGUGACAUAAAACAAGACAAAAAAGUUAAAAAUACAGCAUGACAGGAUGAAUCUACAUCCCAUGCAGAGUAAGAGGAGACUGGAAGGUGAAAAGGGGGCAUCUGUGUUCUGCACGCUGACACGCACACACAUGUAUUGGCUCCUGCUAGAGUGGAGCACACAUGAUUGGAGUUAACACGAACUUAAGGGGAAAACUGCUGUACAGACAAAACUGGCCGGCAUGGGAGACACAAUGUGUUUAAAUAUGUUUCUGUUCGACAAACUGAUGGUAUUAUUUUCUAUCUUGAUAAAGAUAAUGAUUUUAGUGGUCCGGAUAGUAUAAACAAAAUUUAGAACUCCAGGUGAACUCUCCACAACAUCUGGACUGGGACUAACAAAUUAAAGUCUAUUAUAUAAAUAGUCUAAUCCUCUUCUGUAUUUGUUUUGAUAAAUAUUGGCUGUACAAAUGUGGGACUGAGUCUGAAUAAACGUAAUAAAAUGGAAAAUGCAGAUUUAUCAUGUAACUCUGGAAAACAAUGAUCAUGCUCAUUGAUUUCUACUUAUGCCUGAUUGUCAGAUGCUAACCAAGAUGACGGCGCUCUGGCAACAGCCAGUGGAAUGAGUCGAUCCACCCUGCUCAGAUUUUUGAUCAUUUAUGUAUGUGUUUCAGUGAUUAAUUGAGAGUUUAA
Molecule: long non-coding RNA, 1756 nt
Organism: Thalassophryne amazonica
Lineage: Eukaryota; Metazoa; Chordata; Actinopteri; Batrachoidiformes; Batrachoididae
Exons: 2
Source: RefSeq, a predicted model, not a curated record